CUAUAGUUAGGUAUUACUAACAGGUUGUGUCUAUAGGUAGGUAUUACUAACAGGUUGUGUCUAUAGGUAGGUGAUCCUAACAGGUUGUGUCUAGAGGUAGGUGAUCCUAACAGGUUGUGUCUAUAGGUAGGUGAUCCUAACAGGUUGUGUCUAUAGGUAGGUGAUCCUAACAGGUUGUGUCUAGAGGUAGGUGAUCCUAACAGGUUGUGUCUAGAGGUAGGUGAUCCUAACAGGUUGUGUCUAGAGGUAGGUGAUCCUAACAGGUUGUGUCUAUAGGUAGGUGAUCCUAACAGGUUGUGUCUAGAGGUAGGUGAUCCUAACAGGUUGUGUCUAUAGGUAGGUGAUCCUAACAGGUUGUGUCUAUAGGUAGGUGAUCCUAACAGGUUGUGUCUAGAGGUAGGUGAUCCUAACAGGUUGUGUAUGUAGGUAGGUGAUACUAACAGGUUGUGUCUGUAGGUAGGUGAUACUAACAGGUUGUGUAUGUAGGUAGGUAUUACUAACAGGUUGUGUCUAUAGGUAGGUGAUCCUAACAGGUUGUGUCUAUAGGUAGGUGAUCCUAACAGGUUGUGUCUAUAGGUAGGUGAUCCUAACAGGUUGUGUCUAUAGGUAGGUGAUCCUAACAGGUUGUGUCUAGAGGUAGGUGAUCCUAACAGGUUGUGUCUAUAGGUAGGUGAUCCUAACAGGUUGUGUCUAGAGGUAGGUGAUCCUAACAGGUUGUGUCUAUAGGUAGGUGAUCCUAACAGGUUGUGUCUAUAGGUAGGUGAUCCUAACAGGUUGUGUCUAGAGGUAGGUGAUCCUAACAGGUUGUGUCUAUAGGUAGGUGAUCCUAACAGGUUGUGUCUAGAGGUAGGUGAUCCUAACAGGUUGUGUCUAUAGGUAGGUGAUCCUAACAGGUUGUGUCUAUAGGUAGGUGAUCCUAACAGGUUGUGUCUAGAGGUAGGUGAUCCUAACAGGUUGUGUCUAGAGGUAGGUGAUCCUAACAGGUUGUGUCUAUAGGUAGGUGAUCCUAACAGGUUGUGUCUAGAGGUAGGUGAUCCUAACAGGUUGUGUCUAGAGGUAGGUGAUCCUAACAGGUUGUGUCUAGAGGUAGGUGAUCCUAACAGGUUGUGUCUAGAGGUAGGUAUUACUAACAGGUUGUGUCUAUAGGUAGGUAUUACUAACAGGUUGUGUCUAGAGGUAGGUAUUACUAACAGGUUGUGUCUAUAGGUAGGUGAUCCUAACAGGUUGUGUAUGUAGGUAGGUGAUACUAACAGGUUGUGUCUAUAGGUAGGUGAUCCUAACAGGUUGUGUCUAUAGGUAGGUAUUACUAACAGG
Molecule: long non-coding RNA, 1314 nt
Organism: Oncorhynchus keta (chum salmon)
Lineage: Eukaryota; Metazoa; Chordata; Actinopteri; Salmoniformes; Salmonidae
Exons: 6
Source: RefSeq, a predicted model, not a curated record